UGUUUGCGGUGCCCAGCUGACACGGGUCUGGAGGCUCACACGCGGGACCCGAGCUCUGGAGGAGUAAAUCAUCCCCACUUUAAACCCACCCUCUGCCAGGGCUCCAGUUGGGAACUCUUUGCGUUGCUCUGAACACAUGAGAUUGGGACAAUAGCUGGAGUGGAUUAUUCAUUCCUGUAGGGCAAUACUCCCCUGUAUGGGCUUCAGGAUGCAGUUGGAAGCUUGGGAACAAAGCGGGCAUCGAAUGUCAAGGAUCCUUUUGAGGAAGAAAUAGUUCUGCUAGCACCCCAUGCUUGGACUUUGGAGGGCAUGGGGCAGUGGUCUGAUAUGAAAGCCCUGUCCCUGCAGAUGGAAACUCUCCUCUGUAUCCUGCGCCUUGCAAGAGAAGCAGCGAAGGGACACUCGAAGUAACCAAGCAUCUGGCAUCAAGCCUGACAACCCACUUCACACUAUGUGAAGGAAAGUUUGUUCCAAACCACAUACUUUGUGGUGCUCAAUACUAGUGUCAAACUGGUUUGAACUGUCCCAGGUCUAAAAUAAAGAUCUCUAUUGUGGUGUGACAGUGA
Molecule: long non-coding RNA, 566 nt
Organism: Zonotrichia leucophrys gambelii
Lineage: Eukaryota; Metazoa; Chordata; Aves; Passeriformes; Passerellidae
Exons: 3
Source: RefSeq, a predicted model, not a curated record